UCUUAGUAAAGAAAAGGCUCUAGGAACUGG
This 30-nucleotide non-coding RNA is filed under the name Rattus norvegicus (Norway rat). Lineage: Eukaryota; Metazoa; Chordata; Mammalia; Rodentia; Muridae. The record is from RNAcentral.